RNAcentral lists this ribosomal RNA (253 nucleotides) under uncultured bacterium. Its description in RNAcentral is "partial 16S ribosomal RNA". It matches the Rfam family "Bacterial small subunit ribosomal RNA", at positions 524 to 776 of the family's 1533-position model. The record is from RNAcentral.
UACGGGGGGGGCAAGCGUUGUUCGGAAUUACUGGGCGUAAAGGGUUUGUAGGUGGCCAACUAAGUCAGACGUGAAAUCCCUCAGCUUAACUGGGGAACUGCGUCUGAUACUGGUUGGCUUGAGUGCAGGAGAGGAAUGCGGAAUUCCAGGUGUAGCGGUGAAAUGCGUAGAUAUCUGGAGGAACACCGGUGGCGAAGGCGAGUCUCUGGACGAAAUCUGACACUGAGGCACGAAAGCUAGGGGAGCAAACAGG